RNAcentral lists this long non-coding RNA (2340 nucleotides) under Phocoena sinus (vaquita). RNAcentral describes it as "lncRNA (ENSPSNG00000016326.1)". The record is from RNAcentral. Lineage: Eukaryota; Metazoa; Chordata; Mammalia; Artiodactyla; Phocoenidae.
AGAUACGGUCUGAGCUGCCACAACGGAGGACGCGUGCCCGCCGGGAGAGGAAGGCACUGCCCAAGGUGACUAGGGGCGCGGGCCAGGGAUCAGAGCCCUGCACGGUGCUCUCGGCAGCCAGCGCCACCUGGGCUCGGCCAACCUCGAACGUAAACUGAACUUUGUUCAUUACACAGCGUUGUAACUGCCCAGGAGGGCCGGCUGCUCAGAGGCAGCAUCGGUCCGCAGAACGAGGCCCACCAAACGUGGGGUCAGAGAAACCCGCUUCAAGGCCUGGCUCUGUGGUCAAGGGCAGCCGCUUACCUGUCUGAGCCUCAGCAUCCCCAUCUGGAAAAAGGGAGAGUAAUUCCUACCUCCCUGGGCCCACAGUCGAGGGAGAAAAGAAUUAUGGUGCCCUCUGCGCGCCUGGCACCAGGUAGGGGCUUUGUGAGAGCCACCUGAUUUAAGAUCCAGGUGAUGGAUGUGGAAACUGGCCAGCUCGCCCGAGGCCCUACAGCAGGAGGAAGUGACGCAGCCGGAGCCUGCAGGCUGGACCCACCGGGCACGUGGACCCACCUGACCACCAACCCACUUCGGAGCCCCUCGGAGCCCCUCGGGGCCAGCGGAGGGCGUGGGAGAGUAAAUCUGCAGAGAGGGUUAGGUCUCCUCCAUCGAGUUGGGAGAGGGGGCGCGGGGAACAGCUGAACCAGAGAGCCACCUUCCAACGGGGAGGCAGGUGCUGAGAUGAAGUGCCUGCAGACUCUGGAGUCAGGGCUCUGAAUCCCAGCUGGGGUCCUUCACCUCCUCAAGCCUCAGUGUCCCAUCUGAAAAGUGGGGUGUACACGGCACAGGGCCGUGAAGAGGCUUCCAAAGGAGAGCUGACACGCACCUGGCACACACGAGGCACGCAAAGUAACCGCCGUCACUAUUGUGGCAACAGUAGACGUGACACACACCAAGGCUUGUUACAAUUUACAGAACGCGCGUGAAGAGACACACACAUGCUCACACACGCACGAGAACACCUGUACAAACCCACACUCAGUCUUGUGCAUACACACAAGCACACACGAACACGCGUGCACACGUGUGAACCACACACAUGCACACGCUCACACACUGACAAGCCACCUGUGUGCCUGUUGUCUGAAUCCUGAGUUUCACUUGUCACAUGUGCUCCCAGUCGAGCCCCUGGCCGCCCGGAGAAGACGCCCCACAGCCUUGGACCAGCCGCGUCACCUGUCCAGGACUCAAUCUCCCCACCAAUAAAGCAGUGGGAAGAGCAGACCCUCCAGUCCAUCUACAGUGUUCCUUUGAGGGUCAGGAAGAUAAAUGUGAAAUAUGUCUUUGCUGGGUAAAACCCGAAGUAAUUACACAGGGGUCUGGAGACUGGAUAACGGCCACGUCACUCACCACUGAGCUCCCUGAGGGCGGGCCACGUCCUGAGACCUUGAUACAUCCCCUCAUCCAACCCUGCGAGGCUCCACCAUGACUCUCUGGACAGAUGAGGAAACCAAGGCAAAGGAACUUAAGGCAUUUAUCAUUCAUGUAGAGCCAACAAGCGGCUGCCCGGGACUGAACCUGGAGUUGUGGCUCCCGAGGCCCCGCCUGGACCGCUGUGCACCCUCCGACCUGCAGGCAGGGCCUGCCCCACUCUCGGGCCUGGCCCCCACGGGGUCACUGAGCGCGCCCACAGCACGUGGCAGAAGUACGUAGCAGGGAUUCAAGGAAUAUCUGACCAAAGCACACACCUCAGCAGCCCCAGGCCCUGGAAGCCCGGGCAUCGAGGCCAGGACUCCAAACCGCAGUCCCGGAGGGGAGCCCGCCCAGGAAGCCGUGCGGCCCCGAGAGGGGGACAGCUCACUGUGACGCCAGGUGACAGGUGUCAAGCAGGCCUGUGGGGCAGACUGGGAUGUUUGGCAGCCUCUAAAUUCAAUAAGACAACGUACGUGAAUAAGGUAACGCCCUGGCUCGGCCUCCUGGUAAGGGCACUCCAUAAACACAGGCGAUCGGCACUCUUAUUUUCUCCAAAUCGUGGCUACCUGCCCAGCUGCCCCUCGGUCCAGUCUGUGGAGAGCGGCGGGGCUGGUCCCAGCUUCGUCCCGUGUCACCUGGAGGGGAGCGUCCUACGGCCGGGCCUUGCACAGAGUACUUUGCUCUGCUCUGUUGUUUUUUUUUUUCUUUUAAUGCCACAGUCUUGCAGGGUCUCGCGGCUGGGGAUCCCCAAGUUGAAUCACCCCUGAAGAGAGCCGAAUAUGUGAAUGUUGACAGAAUUGUCCUUUAACACGAGUCCUCGGUGACAAAUCCACUCCACCCGUCAGCGUGAAUGUGAAGAAAAUAAAUCACUAAGAUAUGAAUUUU